GUACGCUGGCGGCACGCCUAAUACAUGCAAGUCGAACGAAGUAGCAAUACUUAGUGGCAGACGGGUGAGUAAUAUGUAGGUAUCUUCCCAUUGGUGAGGAAUAACACGAGGAAACUUGUGCUAAUACCUCAUAAGUCUUUACGGAGAAAGCUUUAUGCGCCGAUGGAUGAGCCUGCACUUGAUUAGUUUGUUGGUAGGGUAAUGGCCUACCAAGACAAUGAUCAAUAGCUGAUUUGAGAGGAUGAUCAGCCACAUUGGGACUGAGACACGGCCCAAACUCCUACGGGAGGCAGCAGUAGGGAAUCUUGCACAAUGGGGGAAACCCUGAUGCAGCGAUGCCGCGUGAGUGAAGAAGGCCCUUGGGUUGUAAAGCUCUUUCGUCGGGGAAGAAAAUGACUGUACCCGAAUAAG
RNAcentral lists this ribosomal RNA (411 nucleotides) under uncultured Pseudomonadota bacterium. RNAcentral describes it as "bacterial SSU rRNA". It matches the Rfam family "Bacterial small subunit ribosomal RNA", at positions 31 to 487 of the family's 1533-position model. Lineage: Bacteria; Pseudomonadati; Pseudomonadota. The record is from RNAcentral.